GUCCGCAACGAGCGCAACCCCUACGUUUAGUUGCUAACGCGUGAAGGCGAGCACUCUAGACGAACUGCCGUUGACAAAACGGAGGAAGGUGGGGAUGACGUCAAAUCAUCAUGCCCCUUAUGUUCUGGGCUACACACGUGCUACAAUGGCCGGUACAGACGGACGCAAAGCCGCGAGGUGGAGCAAAUCCUAAAAAGCCGGUCUCAGUUCGGAUUGCAGGCUGCAAUUCGCCUGCAUGAAGUCGGAAUCGCUAGUAAUCGCAGGUCAGCAUACUGCGGUGAAUACGUUCCCGGGCCUU
This 298-nucleotide ribosomal RNA is filed under the name uncultured Pelotomaculum sp. RNAcentral describes it as "partial 16S ribosomal RNA". It matches the Rfam family "Bacterial small subunit ribosomal RNA", at positions 1085 to 1382 of the family's 1533-position model. Lineage: Bacteria; Bacillati; Bacillota; Clostridia; Eubacteriales; Desulfotomaculaceae. The record is from RNAcentral.